GUUUGUUGGUGUCUCUUAAUACGAUUCUUGAUUUUCUUGUAGAUUUCUUUGGUGCAUUGAGGGCGAGAGUGUACGAUGAUGAGGUGAGGAAGUUCGUUGAGGGACUUGGAGUGGAGAAGAUCAGCAAGAGGCUGGUGAACUCGAGGGAAGGUCCUCCAGUGUUCGAGCAGCCGGAGAUGACUCUUGAGAAGCUUAUGGAGUAUGGUAACAUGCUUGUGAUGGAGCAAGAGAACGUCAAGAGAGUCCAGCUUGCCAACCAAUACCUUAACGAGGCUGCGUUGGGAGACGCAAACGCUGACGCUAUUGGCCGUGGAACUUUCUUCGGUCAAACCACUGGUCAAGCCUAAGGUAAAAGUGCAAAGUAAGUGAAUUUGCCGGUUCCUGAAGGAUGUUACUGAUCCUGCGGCCAAAAACUUUGAUCCAACGGCUAGAAGUGACUGAUGGAACUUGUGUCUUCAACUUUUGAGCUUUCCCUACUUAUAAUUAAAACUUGUGUUUUUUUUUCUUCUGCUUUUGUGUAAUUGUGAAUUGGUGAUUAUGUGCAAACUUCCAUAUAUUACAGUUGCCCCUUUUAUCAUAAA
Long non-coding RNA from Brassica napus (rape), 581 nucleotides. RefSeq lists it as uncharacterized. Lineage: Eukaryota; Viridiplantae; Streptophyta; Magnoliopsida; Brassicales; Brassicaceae. The transcript is spliced from 2 exons. The record is from RefSeq and is a predicted model, not a curated record.